CCUACGGGUGGCAGCAGUGAGGAAUAUUGGUCAAUGGCCGCAGGGCUGAACCAGCCAAGUCGCGUGAGGGAUGACGGUCCUAUGGAUUGUAAACCUCUUUUGUCAGGGAGCAAAGGGCGCCACGUGUGCCUUUUUGCAUGUACUUUAUGAAUAAGGAUCGGCUAACUCCGUGCCAGCAGCCGCGGUAAUACGGAGGAUCCGAGCGUUAUCCGGCUUUAUUGGGUUUAAAGGGAGCGUAGAUGGGUUGUUAAGUCAGUUGUGAAAGUUUGCGGCUCAACCGUAAAAUUGCAAUUGAUACUGGCAGUCUUGAGUACAGUUGAGGUAGGCGGAAUUCGUGGUGUAGCGGUGAAAUGCUUAGAUAUCACGAAGAACCCCGAUUGCGAAGGCAGCUUACUAAACUGUGACUGACAUUGAUGCUCGAAAGUGUGGGUAUCAAACAGGAUUAGAUACCCGGGUAGUC
This 460-nucleotide ribosomal RNA is filed under the name uncultured bacterium. Its description in RNAcentral is "partial 16S ribosomal RNA". It matches the Rfam family "Bacterial small subunit ribosomal RNA", at positions 338 to 795 of the family's 1533-position model. The record is from RNAcentral.